CUCUCAUCUCCUCUUAGCUUCACCGCCAAAAUCCAGCCGCUAAUCACCAUUGAACGCACUCUAAAAAAUAUUCUGAAAACCAGUCCAAUCCAGCCCCAAAAUCAGCUAAAAACGCUCAAAACAACAGCUCAAAAUUGAUACCAUUCGAGUUCGAGUUCUGUCAAGGUCGCCGACAUAGUUUUGCAAUCGAGUGAAGUGUAGAGCCUCAGUUAACGCCUGCUCAUUUUCACUCACGGCGUGCUCGUCGUUGUAUAUCGUUCGGAGCUGCCGCAAAAUUUUGCAAGUUAAUAAAAGGUCCAUGUUUAUCUAUUGUUCUAUAUUAUGAUUGAUCUGAUUUUUUUUUCUCCAGUUAAAUGAUAUGUUUGUUAAAUGAAUUUGGUGGUUGUUUGAACAGAUCAAAACCACUAAAAUAUAAG
This 416-nucleotide long non-coding RNA is filed under the name Nicotiana tabacum (common tobacco). RNAcentral's name for it is "long non-coding RNA (NTAB_LNC010526)". Lineage: Eukaryota; Viridiplantae; Streptophyta; Magnoliopsida; Solanales; Solanaceae. The record is from RNAcentral.